Molecule: ribosomal RNA, 225 nt
Filed under: uncultured Asaia sp.
Lineage: Bacteria; Pseudomonadati; Pseudomonadota; Alphaproteobacteria; Acetobacterales; Acetobacteraceae
Description: partial 16S ribosomal RNA
Rfam family: Bacterial small subunit ribosomal RNA
Source: RNAcentral
UGCGCAGGCGGUUUACACAGUCAGAUGUGAAAUUCCAGGGCUUAACCUUGGGGCUGCAUUUGAUACGUGUAGACUAGAGUGUGAGAGAGGGUUGUGGAAUUCCCAGUGUAGAGGUGAAAUUCGUAGAUAUUGGGAAGAACACCGGUGGCGAAGGCGGCAACCUGGCUCAUUACUGACGCUGAAGCACGAAAGCGUGGGGAGCAAAUAGGAUUAGAUACCCUUGUA